GGAUAACCUGCCCUUAGGUCUGGCAUAACCCCGGGAAACUGGGGAUAAUUCCGGAUAGAUCAUCGAUGCUGGAAUGCGCUUUGAUCCAAAGCUAUUGUGCCUAAGGAUGGGUCUGCGGUCUAUCAGGUUGUAGUGGGUGUAAUGUACCUACUAGCCUACGACGGAUACGGGUUGUGGGAGCAAGAGCCCGGAGAUGGAUUCUGAGACAUGAAUCCAGGCCCUACGGGGCGCAGCAGGCGCGAAAACUUUACAAUGCGGGGAACCGCGAUAAGGGGACACCGAGUGCCAGCAUCCUAUGUUGGCUGUCCAUAUGUCUAAAUCACAUGUGUUAGCAAGGGCCGGGCAAGACCGGUGCCAGCCGCCGCGGUAACACCGGCGGCCCGAGUGGUGGCCACUAUUAUUGGGUCUAAAGGGUCCGUAGCCGGUUUGGUCAGUCUUCCGGGAAAUCUGACGGCUCAACCGUUAGGCUUUCGGGGGAUACUACCAGGCUUGGGACCGGGAGAGGUAAGAGGUACUACGGGGGUAGGAGUGAAAUCUUGUAAUCCCUGUGGGACCACCAGUGGCGAAGGCGUCUUACCAGAACGGGUCCGACGGUGAGGGACGAAAGCUGGGGGCACGAACCGGAUUAGAUACCCGGGUAGUCCCAGCUGUAAACUAUGCUCGCUAGGUGUCAGGGACGGUGCGACCGUUUCUGGUGCCGCAGGGAAGCCGUGAAGCGAGCCACCUGGGAAGUACGGUCGCAAGGCUGAAACUUAA
RNAcentral lists this ribosomal RNA (756 nucleotides) under uncultured Methanomethylovorans sp. Its description in RNAcentral is "bacterial SSU rRNA". It matches the Rfam family "Archaeal small subunit ribosomal RNA", at positions 102 to 859 of the family's 1478-position model. The record is from RNAcentral. Lineage: Archaea; Methanobacteriati; Methanobacteriota; Methanomicrobia; Methanosarcinales; Methanosarcinaceae.